RNAcentral lists this ribosomal RNA (433 nucleotides) under uncultured bacterium. RNAcentral's name for it is "partial 16S ribosomal RNA". It matches the Rfam family "Bacterial small subunit ribosomal RNA", at positions 29 to 507 of the family's 1533-position model. The record is from RNAcentral.
AACGAACGCUGGCGGCAUGCCUAACACAUGCAAGUCGAACGAGACCUUCGGGUCUAGUGGCGCACGGGUGCGUAACGCGUGGGAACCUGCCCUUAGGUUCGGAAUAACUCCCCGAAAGGGGUGCUAAUACCGGAUAAUGUCUUCGGACCAAAUAUUUUUCGCCUUUGGAUGGGCCCGCGUUGGAUUAGCUAGUUGGUAGGGUAAAAGCCUACCAAGGCGACGAUCCAUAGCUGGUCUGAGAGGAUGAUCAGCCACACUGGGACUGAGACACGGCCCAGACUCCUACGGGAGGCAGCAGUGGGGAAUAUUGGACAAUGGGCGAAAGCCUGAUCCAGCAAUGCCGCGUGAGUGAUGAAGGCCUUAGGGUUGUAAAGCUCUUUUACCCGGGAUGAUAAUGACAGUACCGGGAGAAUAAGCGCCGGCUAACUCCGUG